UAACACGUAGGGGGCAAGCGUUGUCCGGAUUUAUUGGGCGUAAAGAGCUCGUAGGCGGCUUAGUAAGUCGGGUGUGAAACCUCCAGGCUCAACCUGGAGACGCCACCCGAUACUGCUAUAGCUAGAGUCCGGUAGGGGAGCGUGGAAUUCCUGGUGUAGCGGUGAAAUGCGCAGAUAUCAGGAGGAACACCAGCGGCGAAGGCGGCGCUCUGGGCCGGAACUGACGCUGAGGAGCGAAAGCGUGGGGAGCAAACAGGAUUAGAUACCCUGGUAGUCCACGCCGUAAACGUUGGGCACUAGGUGUGGGUCGUUAUCAACGCGAUCUGUGCCGUAGCUAACGCAUUAAGUGCCCCGCCUGGGGAGUACGGCCGCAAGGCUA
Molecule: ribosomal RNA, 379 nt
Filed under: uncultured bacterium
Lineage: Bacteria
Description: bacterial SSU rRNA
Rfam family: Bacterial small subunit ribosomal RNA
Source: RNAcentral